RNAcentral lists this ribosomal RNA (498 nucleotides) under uncultured bacterium. RNAcentral's name for it is "partial 16S ribosomal RNA". It matches the Rfam family "Bacterial small subunit ribosomal RNA", at positions 30 to 523 of the family's 1533-position model. The record is from RNAcentral.
AUUGAACGCUGGCGGCAUGCCUUACACAUGCAAGUCGAACGGCAGCACGGGGCAACCUGGUGGCGAGUGGCGAACGGGUGAGUAAUGCAUCGGAACGUACCUUUCAGUGGGGGAUAACGUAGCGAAAGUUACGCUAAUACCGCAUAUUCUGUGAGCAGGAAAGCAGGGGAUCGCAAGACCUUGCGCUGAUUGAGCGGCCGAUGUCAGAUUAGCUAGUUGGUGAGGUAAAGGCUCACCAAGGCGACGAUCUGUAGCGGGACUGAGAGGAUGAUCCGCCACACUGGAACUGAGACACGGUCCAGACUCCUACGGGAGGCAGCAGUGGGGAAUUUUGGACAAUGGGGGCAACCCUGAUCCAGCCAUGCCGCGUGAGUGAAGAAGGCCUUCGGGUUGUAAAGCUCUUUCGGCCGGGAAGAAAUCGCACGGGCUAAUACCCUGUGUGGAUAACGGUACCGGAAUAAGAAGCACCGGCUAACUACGUGCCAGCCGCCGCGGUAA